CCUACGGGGGUCUGCAGUGAGGAAUAUUGGUCAAUGGGCGCGAGCCUGAACCAGCCAAGUCGCGUGAAGGAUGACUGCUCUAUGGUUUGUAAACUUCUUUUAUAAAGGAAUAAAGUUAUGCACGUGUGCCUAUUUGUAUGUACUUUAUGAAUAAGGAUCGGCUAACUCCGUGCCAGCAGCCGCGGUAAUACGGAGGAUCCGAGCGUUAUCCGGAUUUAUUGGGUUUAAAGGGUGCGUAGAUUGUUUGUUAAGUCAGUUGUGAAAGUUUGCGGCUCAACCAUAAAAUUGCAGUUGAUACUGGAAGACUUGAGUACAGUUGAGGUAGGCGGAAUGCGUGGUGUAGCGGUGAAAUGCAUAGAUAUCACGAAGAACUCCGAUUGCGAAGGCAGUUUACUAGGCUGCAACUGACACUGAGGCUCGAAAGUGUGGGGAUCAAACAGGAUUAGAUACCCCGGUAGUC
This 460-nucleotide ribosomal RNA is filed under the name uncultured bacterium. RNAcentral's name for it is "partial 16S ribosomal RNA". It matches the Rfam family "Bacterial small subunit ribosomal RNA", at positions 338 to 795 of the family's 1533-position model. The record is from RNAcentral.